GAUGAACGCUGGCGGCGUGCCUAAUACAUGCAAGUCGAGCGAACAGAUGAGGAGCUUGCUUCUCUGACGUUAGCGGCGGACGGGUGAGUAACACGUGGAUAACCGACCUAUAAGACUGGGAUAACUUCGGGAAACCGGAGCUAAUACCGGAUAAUAUAUUGAACCGCAUGGUUCAAUAGUGAAAGACGGUUUUGCUGUCACUUAUAGAGGUAUCCGCGCCGCAUUAGCUAGUUGGUAAGGUAACGGCCUACCAAGGCAACGAUGCGUAGCCGACCUGAGAGGGUGAUCGGCCACACUGGAACUGAGACACGGUCCAGACUCCUACGGGAGGCAGCAGUAGGGAAUCUUCCGCAAUGGGCGAAAGCCUGACGGAGCAACGCCGCGUGAGUGAUGAAGGUCUUCGGAUCGUAAAACUCUGUUAUUAGGGAAGAACAAAUGUGUAAGUAACUAUGCACGUCUUGACGGUACCUAAUCAGAAAGCCCCGGCUAACUACGUG
This 497-nucleotide ribosomal RNA is filed under the name uncultured bacterium. Its description in RNAcentral is "partial 16S ribosomal RNA". It matches the Rfam family "Bacterial small subunit ribosomal RNA", at positions 28 to 507 of the family's 1533-position model. The record is from RNAcentral.